Molecule: ribosomal RNA, 432 nt
Filed under: uncultured bacterium
Lineage: Bacteria
Description: partial 16S ribosomal RNA
Rfam family: Bacterial small subunit ribosomal RNA
Source: RNAcentral
AACGAACGCUGGCGGCAUGCCUAACACAUGCAAGUCGAACGAGACCUUCGGGUCUAGUGGCGCACGGGUGCGUAACGCGUGGGAACCUGCCCUUAGGUUCGGAAUAACUCCCCGAAAGGGGUGCUAAUACCGGAUAAUGUCUUCGGACCAAAGAUUUAUCGCCUUUGGAUGGGCCCGCGUUGGAUUAGCUAGUUGGUAGGGUAAAAGCCUACCAAGGCGACGAUCCAUAGCUGGUCUGAGAGGAUGAUCAGCCACACUGGGACUGAGACACGGCCCAGACUCCUACGGGAGGCAGCAGUGAGGAAUAUUGGACAAUGGGCGAAGGCCUGAUCCAGCAAUGCCGCGUGAGUGAUGAAGGCCUUAGGGUUGUAAAGCUCUUUUACCCGGGAUGAUAAUGACAGUACCGGAAGAAUAAGCUCCGGCUAACUCCGU